This 403-nucleotide ribosomal RNA is filed under the name uncultured Acetoanaerobium sp. RNAcentral describes it as "bacterial SSU rRNA". It matches the Rfam family "Bacterial small subunit ribosomal RNA", at positions 356 to 774 of the family's 1533-position model. The record is from RNAcentral. Lineage: Bacteria; Bacillati; Bacillota; Clostridia; Peptostreptococcales; Filifactoraceae.
GGGGAAUAUUGCGCAAUGGGGUAAACCCUGACGCAGCAAUACCGCGUGAGUGAAGAAGGUUUUCGGAUCGUAAAGCUCUGUUAUUGGGGAAGAAAAAAAGACGGUACCAUAGGAGGAAGCACCGGCUAACUACGUGCCAGCAGCCGCGGUAAUACGUAGGGGGCAAGCGUUAUCCGGAAUUACUGGGCGUAAAGGGUGCGUAGGCGGUUUAUCAAGUCAGGGGUGAAAGGCUACGGCUCAACCGUGAGUGAGCCUCUGAAACUGGUGAACUUGAGUGUAGGAGAGGAAAGUGGAAUUCCCAGUGUAGCGGUGAAAUGCGUAGAUAUUGGGAGGAACACCAGUGGCGAAGGCGACUUUCUGGACUACAACUGUCGCUGAGGCACGAAAGCGUGGGGAGCAAACA